ACUCAAAUGAAUUGACGGGGGCCCGCACAAGCAGCGGAGCGUGUGGUUUAAUUCGAGGCUACGCGAAGAACCUUACCAGGGAAUGACAGGUAGAUGGUAGCGAGGUGAAAGCUGAGCGACCCUUCGGGGAGUCUACCCAGGUGCUGCAUGGCUGUCGUCAGCUCGUGCCGUGAGGUGUUAGGUUAAGUCCUGUAACGAGCGCAACCCUCGUCGUUAGUUACAAGUGUCUAACGAGACCGCCGGUGAUAAGCCGGAGGAAGGUGGGGAUGAAGUCAAGUCAGCAUGGCCUUUAUAUCCUGGGCUACACACACGCUACAAUGGCCGGUACAAUGGGUUGCCAAGUCGUGAGACGGAGCCAAUCCCGCAAAGCCGGUCUCAGUUCGGAUGGCAGGCUGCAACUCGCCUGCCUGAAGUCGGAGUUGCUAGUAACCGCGCGUCAGCACAGUGCGGUGAAUACGUUCCCGGGCCUUGCACACACCGCCCGU
This 485-nucleotide ribosomal RNA is filed under the name uncultured bacterium. RNAcentral's name for it is "partial 16S ribosomal RNA". It matches the Rfam family "Bacterial small subunit ribosomal RNA", at positions 899 to 1397 of the family's 1533-position model. The record is from RNAcentral.